RNAcentral lists this ribosomal RNA (425 nucleotides) under uncultured bacterium. Its description in RNAcentral is "bacterial SSU rRNA". It matches the Rfam family "Bacterial small subunit ribosomal RNA", at positions 354 to 796 of the family's 1533-position model. The record is from RNAcentral.
GUGGGGAAUAUUGGACAAUGGGCGAAAGCCUGAUCCAGCCAUGCCGCGUGAGUGAUGAAGGCCUUAGGGUUGUAAAGCUCUUUCAGUGGGGACGAUAAUGACGGUACCCACAGAAGAAGCCCCGGCUAACUUCGUGCCAGCAGCCGCGGUAAUACGAAGGGGGCUAGCGUUGUUCGGAUUUACUGGGCGUAAAGCGCACGUAGGCGGAUCGUUAAGUCGGGGGUGAAAUCCUGGAGCUCAACUCCAGAACUGCCUUCGAUACUGGCGAUCUUGAGUCCGGAAGAGGUGAGUGGAACUCCUAGUGUAGAGGUGGAAUUCGUAGAUAUUAGGAAGAACACCAGUGGCGAAGGCGGCUCACUGGUCCGGUACUGACGCUGAGGUGCGAAAGCGUGGGGAGCAAACAGGAUUAGAUACCCGGGUAGUCC